GACGAACGCUGGCGGCGUGCUUAACACAUGCAAGUCGAACGAAGAGCGAUGGAAGCUUGCUUCUAUCAAUCUUAGUGGCGAACGGGUGAGUAACGCGUAAUCAACCUGCCCUUCAGAGGGGGACAACAGUUGGAAACGACUGCUAAUACCGCAUACGAUCUAAUCUCGGCAUCGAGGAUAGAUGAAAGGUGGCCUCUACAUGUAAGCUAUCACUGAAGGAGGGGAUUGCGUCUGAUUAGCUAGUUGGAGGGGUAACGGCCCACCAAGGCGAUGAUCAGUAGACGGUCUGAGAGGAUGAACGGCCACAUUGGGACUGAGACACGGCCCAGACUCCUACGGGAGGCAGCAGUGGGGAAUCUUCCGCAAUGGACGAAAGUCUGACGGAGCAACGCCGCGUGAGCGAUGACGGCCUUCGGGUUGUAAAGCUCUGUUAAUCGGGACGAAAGGCCUUCUUGCGAAUAGUGAGAAGGAUUGACGGUACCGGAAUAGAAAGCCACGGCUAACUACGUG
Molecule: ribosomal RNA, 510 nt
Filed under: uncultured bacterium
Lineage: Bacteria
Description: partial 16S ribosomal RNA
Rfam family: Bacterial small subunit ribosomal RNA
Source: RNAcentral